GUGUUCCCUUCUUUCCUGUUUGGGGACGAAUCUCUUCUCUCCUUGGCCAGCCCAGAUUGAGCCAAUUUGAAGCCUGCCUGCCUCAGAGAGAUAGUCUGGCCAGACCUGGGAAAAGGUUGGGAGAGAUUUAGGAAGCAAAAAGAGCAUGCACAGCCUUCAGUUGUGAGGAGAUACAAACCAAAGGGCUGAUGAAUGGGUACCAUAGAUUUAUAAUGGAGUUGGGAGUGCUGGGCUGAGCCCAGUGUUCUAAGGCCUCUACAUAUGGUGGCCAUGAAGCACCUGGGAAAGUCUGGCCAAGAGGUUAAAUAUGCAUUGUGAACAGCCACAGGAAGAAUACAUAUGUGUGGCUACAUGAAAGUGUGCUCUCAAGUGUGUGUAAGCCUGAAAGAUGGUAUAUUUAAAAUGAACAGAGAAAGAAAUCCAUGAAACAAUGCUUACCUGCGUUCACAGGUACACUGAGGACAAUUCCGAGAGACAUCAGUGUGGGAUACGUGACAGCGAUUCCAAAAUUUAAUACAAUAUUGAAUGCUGAAAUAAAGAAUUUAGAAAACUAGA
Non-coding RNA from Cricetulus griseus (Chinese hamster), 555 nucleotides. Lineage: Eukaryota; Metazoa; Chordata; Mammalia; Rodentia; Cricetidae. The record is from RefSeq and is a predicted model, not a curated record.